This 301-nucleotide ribosomal RNA is filed under the name uncultured bacterium. Its description in RNAcentral is "partial 16S ribosomal RNA". It matches the Rfam family "Bacterial small subunit ribosomal RNA", at positions 509 to 807 of the family's 1533-position model. The record is from RNAcentral.
CAGUCGCCGCGGUAAUACGUAGGGUGCGAGCGUUAAUCGGAAUUACUGGGCGUAAAGCGUGCGCAGGCGGUUGUGUAAGACAGGUGUGAAAUCCCCGGGCUUAACCUGGGAACUGCAUUUGUGACUGGCAAGCUAGAGUGUGGCAGAGGGGGGUGGAAUUCCGCGUGUAGCAGUGAAAUGCGUAGAUAUGCGGAGGAACACCGAUGGCGAAGGCAGCCCCCUGGGACAACACUGACGCUGAGGCACGAAAGCGUGGGGAGCAAACAGGAUUAGAUACCCCCGUAGUCCCUGUCUCUUAUAC